GAUGGACCCGCGGUGUAUUAGCUAGUUGGUGAGGUAACGGCUCACCAAGGCAACGAUACAUAGCCGACCUGAGAGGGUGAUCGGCCACACUGGGACUGAGACACGGCCCAGACUCCUACGGGAGGCAGCAGUAGGGAAUCUUCCGCAAUGGACGAAAGUCUGACGGAGCAACGCCGCGUGAGUGAAGAAGGUUUUCGGAUCGUAAAACUCUGUUGUAAGGGAAGAACAAGUA
This 232-nucleotide ribosomal RNA is filed under the name uncultured Macrococcus sp. RNAcentral's name for it is "partial 16S ribosomal RNA". It matches the Rfam family "Bacterial small subunit ribosomal RNA", at positions 224 to 455 of the family's 1533-position model. Lineage: Bacteria; Bacillati; Bacillota; Bacilli; Caryophanales; Staphylococcaceae. The record is from RNAcentral.